ACUGCUCAGUAACACGUGGAUAACCUGCCCUUGGGUCCGGCAUAACCCCGGGAAACUGGGGAUAAUUCCGGAUAACGCAUAUAUGCUGGAAUGCUUUAUGCGUAAAAUGGAUUCGUCUGCCCAAGGAUGGGUCUGCGGCCUAUCAGGUAGUAGUGGGUGUAAUGUACCUACUAGCCAACAACGGGUACGGGUUGUGAGAGCAAGAGCCCGGAGAUGGAUUCUGAGACAUGAAUCCAGGCCCUACGGGGCGCAGCAGGCGCGAAAACUUUACAAUGCGGGAAACCGUGAUAAGGGGACACCGAGUGCUAGCAUCAUAUGCUGGCUGUCCAGGUGUGUAAACUACACCUGUUAGCAAGGGCCGGGCAAGACCGGUGCCAGCCGCCGCGGUAACACCGGCGGCCCGAGUGGUGAUCGUGAUUAUUGGGUCUAAAGGGUCCGUAGCCGGUUUGGUCAGUCCUCCGGGAAAUCUGAUAGCUUAACUAUUAGGCUUUCGGGGGAUACUGCCAGGCUUGGAACCGGGAGAGGUAAGAGGUACUACAGGGGUAGGAGUGAAAUCUUGUAAUCCCUGUGGGACCACCUGUGGCGAAGGCGUCUUACCAGAACGGGUUCGACGGUGAGGGACGAAAGCUGGGGGCACGAACCGGAUUAGAUACCCGGGUAGUCCCAGCCGUAAACGAUGCUCGCUAGGUGUCAGGCAUGGCGCGACCGUGUCUGGUGCCGCAGGGAAGCCGUGAAGCGAGCCACCUGGGAAGUACGGCCGCAAGGCUGAAACUUAAAGGAAUUGGCGGGGGAGCAC
Molecule: ribosomal RNA, 796 nt
Filed under: uncultured methanogenic archaeon
Lineage: Archaea; Methanobacteriati; Methanobacteriota
Description: bacterial SSU rRNA
Rfam family: Archaeal small subunit ribosomal RNA
Source: RNAcentral